Long non-coding RNA from Triticum aestivum (bread wheat), 3461 nucleotides. RefSeq lists it as uncharacterized. Lineage: Eukaryota; Viridiplantae; Streptophyta; Magnoliopsida; Poales; Poaceae. The record is from RefSeq and is a predicted model, not a curated record. The transcript is spliced from 4 exons.
UCCCCGCGACCCAGCACCACGUCUUCUCUCAGGUGCCCACUCGCCCCGCCCCCGAUUGAACCCUAGCCGCCACUCCUCGCUGGCCAUUCUCCCCGUCCACGGCCGCCACGUGCAUCGCCGCCAGAGGGCGUCGCCGGGUGUGCGCGUGCCUCCGCGGAUUCGCGCCGCGGUUGCCGGAGGCGUGGGCACCGCGGGUCAACCUCCUCGGGGACGAUGGGCGCCACAAGCCUCGUCGAAGGUCGCCUCUUCAUCCGCCACGACUCCGGCGCUCGUCCUGCUCACCGACGGUUGCCUGUCCAUCCGCCACGGCAGCGGUGCUUGUUCUCCUCCUUGGCUAUCCGCCUUCCCAUCCGCCAUGGCUGUGGCCUCCAAGCUUCGGGUUGUGAUGGCUUAGCUGCACCAUGACGCUGGUCUCUUGUUCUUAUCGUCGUUGAUGUGUCAGAUCUGUUGUUGUGCUAGCUGAACUGUAGGUUGGUUCAUUGUUUCUGGUUUCACGUCUUCUUGGUCGAUCCCUUGUCCGGCAUGUGCCUGCAUGUUGUCUCCCUGCCGCGGCAUUACGGAUCUGCAGGUUUUGUAGAUGGUAGCCUUACAGGCUGUGCUCCAAAUGGGUAAAAGGAAGUUUCUACUUGCUGUUCUAAGAUUCAGACAUCAGGCACAUACAUAAUAUAUCAUCUCUUAUGACUCCAAUGGUUUGUAUCCUGGAAGCAAUUCGGGUCCUCUGUUUUUCAAGCAGCUUGUGUCUUAUGCAUGAUUAGUGGGUUAUACACUACACUUUUUAUUUUAAAUGCGACCAUAUAGACAUAGCAAUCAAGCUAUAUUAUAAAUCCUAUUAGUAUCUUUUUCAUUGUUGAUGCGUUCUUCCAAAAAUCUUGGUGCCCAAUAUUCUGCUUGGAUGUAGGAUUCAUUAUAGCUAUUUCAAUAGUCCUCCCGGCCAGGCGAAUACGCAGUGAAUAGCGACCUUGCACCGAGGGUAAAUCUUGCUGUCGGCCACAUAUUGUACCAUAGCUAGAAAUUGUCUUCUCACUUUGUAAUCCAAAGAAUUAGCUUUUUGUUCUUUUCCGCAACUUUUUCAUAUGUAGGGCCUACAUGUUCUGGCAGCUAAUUGAAAGAAACUAUCUCCAGUUCUGCCAAACACUACCGUAGUCACGUGUCCUAUUCUUUAGUAAUUAGCAGCACAAGGAAACUGAUAGGUGUUGCACGCACAAUUCCCCUUUGGUGCCGUGCAGAUUGAAAAAUCAACAAGUACCCUGAUUUUGGUGCCAGACAUAUGAUGUGUGCUCUUCACAGAAGUUUUAGUUGGCAUACAUGCGUGCAAAUGGAUAUAUCUAUUACAAAUGCUCACAAUAAUAUGUUUCAUCCCACGCCUGUAAAUUAACUAUAAGGUUUAUAUUUUAUCAGAUGCAUGGGCACUUGUCGUUGCAGCAAGAGUUGCCACCAAAUCAGAUUAGAAGUUUUUUAAACAGGUUCCUAUAUUACUCUAUUUCUGCCACCAAAACAUUUAGUGAAGGUUCUUGGCGUUUUUAAUAAUUAUAGCUACUUCUCUAUUUCUGCCAAUAAUGCAUUACUCCGCAAUUGUGGACUUUUUCUUGGUCCCAAGUUCUGAAUAUGCAUUAAUCCAAGACCUAUUUUUGACCCCGUAGAUGAAUUUAUCCCUGGGUGUUUAUGCACGGAAGGAGGAGGCAUACCAAUGAUAGUUUGAAUCAAACCAGUAAAGGAUGCAACCGUCGGUUAUGGUGUCGAGCGAUUGAACUGUAGUGAACUGGUAGUGCGACUGUUAACCUCCUUGAAACCAUUCACGUUCGUCGCUCUUCAACUCACGCAACAGACAAGCAACUCUUCUUUUAUAACUAUAGACAAGUAUGACUCCAUACCCUUAAAUUCCCUGCACGAUUCUCAGGGUCAUUGAAUACAUCUUGUAACCCCACAUAAAUGGUUAGGAACGAGAUAAAUUUUAUUUAUCUUUGAUUCCCUACCAAAAUAUUUCUACUGCAUGUGUUAGGUAGGAUCUAUAAGAGUUGCUGCUAUGUAUAUGUUGUUGAAACCCCCAAUGUAGUUAAUCUCCGGCUCAUCAUCUUUCUUAGUUCAAGCCCUUCAGAGAAUGCUUUUAAAUUUAUGAACUGAAUUUAGUUCAAGAUUUAGUGAAAAUGCACGGUGAUCUUUACAACUUAUCUAUUUCUUUUUUUCUGUGGGACUUCUUCAAAGAUAAUAAUUUGGCAAUAAAUAAUGUUCAGUAAUCAUGUUUCCCUUUUAAUCACUAUACUUUAGUAAUCUUGGUAUCACAGGAUCUUUGAAACCUGAUACCACUCAUGUAAUUAGCCAUUAUUUUUGUCAUAAAGUCCCAUGUCUUAUCGCUAAUUGCAGCAUUGUUUUUCACCAGCGUGUCAUAGAUUCAGUUCUGCAUGAUGAGCUUGGUAUAGGAGAAAAUCAGUUUGCCAAUAUUAUUUUCUUGCUUAUUGAUAUACACAUGUUUACGUACAAUGUACCAGUUGCAUGGAUGUACCAAUUGUUGUCCAGUAACCUUUGAAAGUUGAACACAAAGAAUCUGCGCCCUAGGAUAAUUGCAAGGAAGGGAAUCACAUAUGUGAGUGCCCUUCAGAAAACCCAGUGGCACGUGGCAUAUCAGAAGGAACCAAAAUUGUAAUCCCCAAGUGCGCCGAGCACUUUCUAUUCUGUAGGAAGAUGAGCUUGAGAGUUGAGAGGUGGGUUAUAGUAACUAUGCUCAUGAAUCUCCAUUUGCCAUACUUGAAAGUUGGGAUAUGUAAUCUCCGUUGGAUUAUAUAAGCUUGUUAAGACAGACUAAUAUGCAUAAAAUUUUGCAUGGAAUGCUUCUAAUAUGCUACCUAAUAAUAAGGCAGUUCCCAUUUUAACAAAUUUCAUGAUGAAUCAUAAAUCUUCAUACGUGCACACAUAGUGUAACCUCUUUCCUGUAAGCAUCCAGGCUUUUGAUUGAUUGGUUUGAGGUGCAACCAUGCCUAUCAAAUGAGGAACACGUUACCCUUCUCAGCCACCCAAAAAUACUGUUACCUUUAGUACUCGAUGUAGCAUGCAUUCCCUUUUUCAUUAUCACCCAGUGGUGGCCUUAGAAAGAAAAGCUUGCAUUAAAUUUUUGUGCUGUACUAAUUAUUAUGACCUGGUCUAAUUAUUAUAAAUCCUUCGACCUAUGUAAUGUACUCCUGAUACUAUUAUAUCAUGCUGCAUUUCCUGUGAUAUAUCAAAUAUCUAUCCUUUGUCCUAAACAAGAGGCCUUACAGUUAUACUAAGCAAUACUGAUUUGGUCAGUAUAUAAUAUUGCAAUGCUUAUAACCCUUUGGUCAGUGGCCCAUCUGAAUUGAGAUGCACUACUGGAAUCGGGGAUUUUGCCGUCUGCCAGUUCUUUGCCGUCAGCUAGCAGACGGCAAAGAAGGUCUUUGCCAUCAGCUACCCAAAAGCAGACGGCAAACAACUGGCAGACGGCAAAGAAG